AGAGUUUGAUCCUGGCUCAGGACGAACGCUGGCGGCGUGCCUAAUACAUGCAAGUAGAACGCUGAAGUCUGGUGCUUGCACUAGACGGAUGAGUUGCGAACGGGUGAGUAACGCGUAGGUAACCUGCCUCAUAGCGGGGGAUAACUAUUGGAAACGAUAGCUAAUACCGCAUAACAGUAUUUACCGCAUGGUAGAUAUUUGAAAGGAGCAAUUGCUUCACUAUGAGAUGGACCUGCGUUGUAUUAGCUAGUUGGUGAGGUAACGGCUCACCAAGGCUUCGAUACAUAGCCGACCUGAGAGGGUGAUCGGCCACACUGGGACUGAGACACGGCCCAGACUCCUACGGGAGGCAGCAGUAGGGAAUCUUCGGCAAUGGGGGCAACCCUGACCGAGCAACGCCGCGUGAGUGAAGAAGGUUUUCGGAUCGUAAAGCUCUGUUGUAAGGGAAGAACUGUGAGAAGAGUGGAAAGUUUCUCACUUGACGGUAUCUUACCAGAAAGGGACGGCUAACUACGUGCCAGCAGCCGCGGUAAUACGUAGGUCCCGAGCGUUGUCCGGAUUUAUUGGGCGUAAAGCGAGCGCAGGCGGUUUGAUAAGUCUGAAGUAAAAGGCUGUGGCUUAACCAUAGUACGCUUUGGAAACUGUCAAACUUGAGUGCAGAAGGGGAGAGUGGAAUUCCAUGUGUAGCGGUGAAAUGCGUAGAUAUAUGGAGGAACACCGGUGGCGAAAGCGGCUCUCUGGUCUGUAACUGACGCUGAGGCUCGAAAGCGUGGGGAGCGAACAGGAUUAGAUACCCUGGUAGUCCACGCCGUAAACGAUGAGUGCUAGGUGUUGGGUCCUUUCCGGGACUCAGUGCCGCAGCUAACGCAUUAAGCACUCCGCCUGGGGAGUACGACCGCAAGGUUGAAACUCAAAGGAAUUGACGGGGGCCCGCACAAGCGGUGGAGCAUGUGGUUUAAUUCGAAGCAACGCGAAGAACCUUACCAGGUCUUGACAUCCCGAUGACCGCCCUAGAGAUAGGGUUUCUCUUCGGAGCAUCGGUGACAGGUGGUGCAUGGUUGUCGUCAGCUCGUGUCGUGAGAUGUUGGGUUAAGUCCCGCAACGAGCGCAACCCCUAUUGUUAGUUGCCAUCAUUCAGUUGGGCACUCUAGCGAGACUGCCGGUAAUAAACCGGAGGAAGGUGGGGAUGACGUCAAAUCAUCAUGCCCCUUAUGACCUGGGCUACACACGUGCUACAAUGGCUGGUACAACGAGUCGCAAGUCGGUGACGGCAAGCUAAUCUCUUAAAGCCAGUCUCAGUUCGGAUUGUAGGCUGCAACUCGCCUACAUGAAGUCGGAAUCGCUAGUAAUCGCGGAUCAGCACGCCGCGGUGAAUACGUUCCCGGGCCUUGUACACACCGCCCGUCACACCACGAGAGUUUGUAACACCCGAAGUCGGUGAGGUAACCUUUUAGGAGCCAGCCGCCUAAGGUGGGAUAGAUGAUUGGGGUGAAGUCGUAACAAGGUAGCCGUAUCGGAAGGUGCGGCUG
Molecule: ribosomal RNA, 1529 nt
Filed under: Streptococcus suis
Lineage: Bacteria; Bacillati; Bacillota; Bacilli; Lactobacillales; Streptococcaceae
Also listed under: 3 other names
Description: bacterial SSU rRNA
Rfam family: Bacterial small subunit ribosomal RNA
Source: RNAcentral